Long non-coding RNA from Haliotis rubra (blacklip abalone), 136 nucleotides. RefSeq lists it as uncharacterized. The record is from RefSeq and is a predicted model, not a curated record. The transcript is spliced from 3 exons. Lineage: Eukaryota; Metazoa; Mollusca; Gastropoda; Lepetellida; Haliotidae.
CCAGUGUUUCAGCAUAGAGAGUCAUAUCCUGUAUCUGGUGGAGAGGUACCAGACGGUGGUGAUUAUUGGGGAGACAGGCAGUGGGAAGAGCACACAAAUACCUCAGUAUUUGCUGGAGGCCGAUGGGCUGCAGAGG